Molecule: non-coding RNA, 22 nt
Filed under: Arabidopsis thaliana (thale cress)
Lineage: Eukaryota; Viridiplantae; Streptophyta; Magnoliopsida; Brassicales; Brassicaceae
Source: RNAcentral
AUGCUAUACGUGGCUUGUACAG